GUGUUUCCCCUUCCCCGCACAUCUCAUCUCUUUACUCUGACCGAGACACAGCGGGCGAACUCCAAUGGCGGAGUUUCCCCCUCACUCACCGUAACCGGCACCGGCGGGCACACGGCGCCGCCCUUCCAGCCCUCUCUGCCUCUGGCCGUCAUAGUGCCCUUGAUUCUCCCUAUUUGAGCUUCACAUCCCCGUGCUGUGCACACUGCUGGAAUCACAGGGGUCGCCGCCUUUCUUUCUCUAGGGAGGUCGCUGUGGGUGCUUCCUUCUAUGAGAUCCCGGCGUGACGGGUGCCGCCGGUGCCGAAAUUGGGAGGAGCACCGGCCGAGGGCCACAUCAAGAGCCCCUGUCCGCAAUGACACUGCGUGUGACGCAAGGCCGCCGACCCACUGCGCCCACUGCCCUGCUGGCCUCUGGACGGGCCGAACCAUUGUUGCGCCCUGCGCGCCGUGCCAGCGGCCGGCCAGCUCGGCACCGUCCUGCUGCGGUGCUGCCGGCCGCCGCCGUCGCAUUCCCCGGCCGCCCCGUUGUCCGGCCUGGCACGGAUGAUUGAUGAGCCGCGAUGUCUUCUUCCUCCGUUGUGGUACUGCAUGCAGAUUGGCCUGUAGGGUAGGGUGUUGCACGUCGAGUUCGGCAGUCAGGUUAUAGCGGCAGGUUGUUGUCCACUAUUGGCUGGAGGAUGAGAUGUGCUACCUGAUCUGGAAUAGCACUUCAAAGGAUGGUAGAGACCUUCUGUGAAAAUUGGAGAACAAAUUUGACUCUCAUUGUAUUCCCUCGGUAUGAUAGGAUUGUUUUGCUCAUCAUUUGAUUGUGUAGUGUUCUGAGAGUUGAGAGCUUGGAUGAUAUGAUAUGCAUUGUCAGGUAUGAACAUAUAGUCUAAUUGCUGAUGCAUGGUUAUAAAACUGAAGAACCAAAAAAGGGGACUGCAGGCUUCAACAUCAGUGAAAAAUAAUAUUGUGGGAGCCUCCACUAUUGAUUUGCAGGAGUUUAAUGUAGUCAGAAAUUGGGUUCCUCAUCCCCUAGCAAGCUUAUGGACCGAGCACGCAUUUGGGUGUCAUGGUGAAAUAAUUUUUGAGGCUUCGGCUGAAUUCCUGAUGGCACUUUCUACAUACAAGGAAACAAGCUCUACAAUCGAUGACAACGCGAGGAAGAACUUAGGGCCAACAGCCCUACCGGCCACAAAUAAGCAUAACUUUGUAUCAAUUAUGUGGUUUCAAAACUGUCCGAAUAUACCCAUUCAUUAUUUGCAGUCAAACUCAGGAGAAGAAAAAACAUCAUCUAAGUAGGUGCUCCAAGCUAAAUAGUUCGUUGUCCUUGGUUAGGUAUGGAUUUCAAAAAGAUGGGAAAAAUACCAAGAAUUAUACCAGGACAAAAUAUUGACUAAACACUUAUGUUUGCAGCAAGUUCAAAAAUUUGAGCUAUGGUGACUGAGUUUGAUCAGGAGUA
This is a long non-coding RNA of Lolium perenne, 1443 nucleotides long. RefSeq lists it as uncharacterized. The record is from RefSeq and is a predicted model, not a curated record. Lineage: Eukaryota; Viridiplantae; Streptophyta; Magnoliopsida; Poales; Poaceae.